GACGAACGCUGGCGGCGUGCUUAACACAUGCAAGUCGAACGGAAAGGCCCUGCUUUUGUGGGGUGCUCGAGUGGCGAACGGGUGAGUAACACGUGAGUAACCUGCCCUUGACUUUGGGAUAACUUCAGGAAACUGGGGCUAAUACCGGAUAUGAGCUCCUGCUGCAUGGUGGGGGUGGGAAAGUUUCGGCGGUUGGGGAUGGACUUGCGGGUUAUCAGCGUGUUGGUGGGGUAGUGGCUUACCAAGGCUUUGACGGGUAGCCGGCCUGAGAGGGUGACCGGCCACAUUGGGAUUGAGAUACGGGCAAGACUCCUACGGGAGGCAGGAGUGGGGAAUAUUGCACAAUGGGCGGAAGCCUGAUGCAGCAACGCCGCGUGCGGGAUGACGGCCUUCGGGUUGUAACCCGCUUUCGCCUGUGAAGAAGAGUGAGUGACGGUAAUGGGUAAAGAAGCACCGGCUAACUACGUG
This 468-nucleotide ribosomal RNA is filed under the name uncultured bacterium. Its description in RNAcentral is "partial 16S ribosomal RNA". It matches the Rfam family "Bacterial small subunit ribosomal RNA", at positions 28 to 507 of the family's 1533-position model. The record is from RNAcentral.